Molecule: ribosomal RNA, 1377 nt
Filed under: uncultured bacterium
Lineage: Bacteria
Description: bacterial SSU rRNA
Rfam family: Bacterial small subunit ribosomal RNA
Source: RNAcentral
GAAUUCGCCCUUAGAGUUUGAUCCUGGCUCAGGAUGAACGCUGGCGGCGCGCCUAACACAUGCAAGUCGAACGAGCGAGAGAGAGCUUGCUUUCUCGAGCGAGUGGCGAACGGGUGAGUAACGCGUGAGGAACCUGCCUCAAAGAGGGGGACAACAGUUGGAAACGACUGCUAAUACCGCAUAAGCCCACGGCUCGGCAUCGAGCAGGGGGAAAAGGAGCAAUCCGCUUUGAGAUGGCCUCGCGUCCGAUUAGCUAGUUGGUGAGGUAAUGGCCCACCAAGGCGACGAUCGGUAGCCGGACUGAGAGGUUGAACGGCCACAUUGGGACUGAGACACGUCCCAGACUCCUACGGGAGGCAGCAGUGGGGAAUAUUGCACAAUGGGGGAAACCCUGAUGCAGCGACGCCGCGUGGAGGAAGAAGGUCUUCGGAUUGUAAACUCCUGUUGUUGGGGAAGAUAAUGACGGUACCCAACGAGGAAGUGACGGCUAACUACGUGCCAGCAGCCGCGGUAAAACGUAGGUCACAAGCGUUGUCCGGAAUUACUGGGUGUAAAGGGAGCGCAGGCGGGAAGACAAGUUGGAAGUGAAAUCUAUGGGCUCAACCCAUAAACUGCUUUCAAAACUGUUUUUCUUGAGUAGUGCAGAGGUAGGCGGAAUUCCCGGUGUAGCGGUGGAAUGCGUAGAUAUCACGAAGAACUCCGAUUGCGAAGGCAGCCUGCUAAGCUGCAACUGACAUUGAGGCUCGAAAGUGUGGGUAUCAAACAGGAUUAGAUACCCUGGUAGUCCACACGGUAAACGAUGAAUACUCGCUGUUUGCGAUAUACUGCAAGCGGCCAAGCGAAAGCGUUAAGUAUUCCACCUGGGGAGUACGCCGGCAACGGUGAAACUCAAAGGAAUUGACGGGGGCCCGCACAAGCGGAGGAACAUGUGGUUUAAUUCGAUGAUACGCGAGGAACCUUACCCGGGCUUAAAUUGCAGAUGAAUUACGGUGAAAGCCGUAAGCCGCAAGGCAUCUGUGAAGGUGCUGCAUGGUUGUCGUCAGCUCGUGCCGUGAGGUGUCGGCUUAAGUGCCAUAACGAGCGCAACCCUUGUGAUUAGUUGCUACGCAAGAGCACUCUAAUCAGACUGCCGUUGACAAAACGGAGGAAGGUGGGGACGACGUCAAAUCAUCAUGCCCUUUAUGACCUGGGCUACACACGUACUACAAUGGUCGUUAACAGAGGGAAGCAAUACCGCGAGGUGGAGCAAAACCCUAAAAACGGUCUCAGUUCAGAUUGUAGGCUGCAACUCGCCUACAUGAAGUUGGAAUUGCUAGUAAUCGCGGAUCAGCAUGCCGCGGUGAAUACGUUCCCGGGUCUUGUACUCACCGCCCGUCA